Molecule: small nucleolar RNA, 131 nt
Organism: Meriones unguiculatus (Mongolian gerbil)
Lineage: Eukaryota; Metazoa; Chordata; Mammalia; Rodentia; Muridae
Source: Ensembl
CUUGUCCCUAGAGGCUUUGUAGGUGUGGUUGCUGUGUCACACUUGCAUCAGUAAGUGGCAGGAAGGAGGGAGGCUAGUCUGUGUUCAGUGUUCUGACCUGUGAAUAUCAGAAUGAUUAGUAGUCUAACUUU